Molecule: ribosomal RNA, 586 nt
Filed under: Dujonia oleophila
Lineage: Eukaryota; Fungi; Ascomycota; Pichiomycetes; Serinales; Debaryomycetaceae
Description: [Candida] oleophila partial large subunit ribosomal RNA
Rfam family: Eukaryotic large subunit ribosomal RNA
Source: RNAcentral
GAGGAAAAGAAACCAACAGGGAUUGCCUUAGUAACGGCGAGUGAAGCGGCAAAAGCUCAAAUUUGAAAUCUAGCACUUUCAGUGUUCGAGUUGUAAUUUGAAGAAGGUAACUUUGGAAUUGGCUCUUGUCUAUGUUCCUUGGAACAGGACGUCACAGAGGGUGAGAAUCCCGUGCGAUGAGAUGUCCAAUUCUAUGUAAAGUGCUUUCGAAGAGUCGAGUUGUUUGGGAAUGCAGCUCUAAGUGGGUGGUAAAUUCCAUCUAAAGCUAAAUAUUGGCGAGAGACCGAUAGCGAACAAGUACAGUGAUGGAAAGAUGAAAAGAACUUUGAAAAGAGAGUGAAAAAGUACGUGAAAUUGUUGAAAGGGAAGGGCUUGAGAUCAGACUUGGUAUUUUGUGUUCCUUAUUCUUUUUGGAUUUGGUUCCUCACAGCUUACCGGGCCAGCAUCGGUUUGGAUGGUAGGAUAAUGACAUUGGAAUGUAGCUUUGCUUCGGUGAAGUGUUAUAGACUUUGUUGAUACUGCCUAUCUAGACCGAGGACUGCGUCUUUGACUAGGAUGCUGGCGUAAUGAUCUUAAGCCGCCCGUC